RNAcentral lists this ribosomal RNA (464 nucleotides) under uncultured bacterium. RNAcentral describes it as "partial 16S ribosomal RNA". It matches the Rfam family "Bacterial small subunit ribosomal RNA", at positions 339 to 795 of the family's 1533-position model. The record is from RNAcentral.
CUACGGGUUGCACCAGUAGGGAAUUUUCGGCAAUGGGCGAAAGCCUGACCGAGCAAUGCCGCGUGAACGAUGAAGGUCUUCGGAUCGUAAAGUUCUGUUAUAGAGGAAGAACACUAGGUGUAGGAAAUGACAUUUAGCUGACGGUACUCUAUCAGAAAGCUCCGGCUAACUACGUGCCAGCAGCCGCGGUAAUACGUAGGGAGCGAGCGUUGUCCGGAAUUAUUGGGCGUAAAGCGUGCGUAGGCGGUUUACUAAGUCAAAUCUGAAAGCCCACAGCUUAACUGUGGAGGGUGAUUUGAAACUGGUAGACUUGAGUACGGCAGAGGUUAGUGGAAUUCAAUGUGUAGCGGUGGAAUGCGUAGAUAUAUUGAGGAACACCAGUGGCGAAGGCGGCUAACUGGACCGGAACUGACGCUGAGGCACGAAAGCGUGGGGAGCAAACAGGAUUAGAUACCCUCGUAGUC